This 468-nucleotide ribosomal RNA is filed under the name uncultured bacterium. Its description in RNAcentral is "partial 16S ribosomal RNA". It matches the Rfam family "Bacterial small subunit ribosomal RNA", at positions 28 to 507 of the family's 1533-position model. The record is from RNAcentral.
GACGAACGCUGGCGGCGUGCUUAACACAUGCAAGUCGAACGGAAAGGCCCUGCUUUUGUGGGGUGCUCGAGUGGCGAACGGGUGAGUAACACGUGAGUAACCUGCCCUUGACUUUGGGAUAACUUCAGGAAACUGGGGCUAAUACCGGAUAGGAGCUCCUGCUGCAUGGUGUGGGUUGGAAAGUUUCGGCGGUUGGGGAUGGACUCGCGGCUUAUCAGCUUGUUGGUGGGGUAGUGGCUUACCAAGGCUUUGACGGGUAGCCGGCCUGAGAGGGUGACCGGCCACAUUGGGCCUGAGAUACGGCCCAGACGCCUACGGGAGGCAGCAGUGGGGAAUAUUGCACAAUGGGCGGAAGCCUGAUGCAGCAACGCCGCGUGCGGGAUGACGGCCUUCGGGUUGUAAACCGCUGUCGCCUGUGACGAAGCGUGAGUGACGGUAAUGGGUAAAGAAGCACCGGCUAACUACGUG